Molecule: ribosomal RNA, 915 nt
Filed under: uncultured Haemophilus sp.
Lineage: Bacteria; Pseudomonadati; Pseudomonadota; Gammaproteobacteria; Pasteurellales; Pasteurellaceae
Description: bacterial SSU rRNA
Rfam family: Bacterial small subunit ribosomal RNA
Source: RNAcentral
GAUUGAACGCUGGCGGCAAGCUUAACACAUGCAAGUCGAACGGUAACAGGAAGAAAGCUUGCUUUCUUUGCUGACGAGUGGCGGACGGGUGAGUAAUGCUUGGGAAUCUGGCUCAUGGAGGGGGAUAACUACGGGAAACUGUAGCUAAUACCGCGUAAUAUCGAGAGAUUAAAGGGUGGGACCGCAAGGCCACCUGCCAUGAGAUGAGCCCAAGUGGGAUUAGGUAGUUGGUGAGGUAAAGGCUCACCAAGCCGACGAUCUCUAGCUGGUCUGAGAGGAUGACCAGCCACACUGGAACUGAGACACGGUCCAGACUCCUACGGGAGGCAGCAGUGGGGAAUAUUGCACAAUGGGGGGAACCCUGAUGCAGCCAUGCCGCGUGAAUGAAGAAGGCCUUCGGGUUGUAAAGUUCUUUCGGUAGCGAGGAAGGCAUUUAGUUUAAUAGACUAGAUGAUUGACGUUAACUACAGAAGAAGCACCGGCUAACUCCGUGCCAGCAGCCGCGGUAAUACGGGGGGUGCGAGCGUUAAUCGGAAUAACUGGGCGUAAAGGGCACGCAGGCGGUGACUUAAGUGAGAUGUGAAAGCCCCGGGCUUAACCUGGGAAUUGCAUUUCAUACUGGGUCGCUAGAGUACUUUAGGGAGGGGUAGAAUUCCACGUGUAGCGGUGAAAUGCGUAGAGAUGUGGAGGAAUACCGAAGGCGAAGGCAGCCCCUUGGGAAUGUACUGACGCUCAUGUGCGAAAGCGUGGGGAGCAAACAGGAUUAGAUACCCUGGUAGUCCACGCUGUAAACGAUGUCGAUUUGGGGGUUGGGCUUUAAGCUUGGCGCCCGUAGCUAACGUGAUAAAUCGACCGCCUGGGGAGUACGGCCGCAAGGUUAAAACUCAAAUGAAUUGACGGGGGCCCGCACAAGCG